This 464-nucleotide ribosomal RNA is filed under the name Vreelandella stevensii. RNAcentral describes it as "partial 16S ribosomal RNA". It matches the Rfam family "Bacterial small subunit ribosomal RNA", at positions 338 to 795 of the family's 1533-position model. Lineage: Bacteria; Pseudomonadati; Pseudomonadota; Gammaproteobacteria; Oceanospirillales; Halomonadaceae. The record is from RNAcentral.
CCUACGGGGGGCAGCAGUGGGGAAUAUUGGACAAUGGGGGCAACCCUGAUCCAGCCAUGCCGCGUGUGUGAAGAAGGCCCUCGGGUUGUAAAGCACUUUCAGUGAGGAAGAACGCCUGGUGGUUAAUACCCAUCAGGAAAGACAUCACUCACAGAAGAAGCACCGGCUAACUCCGUGCCAGCAGCCGCGGUAAUACGGAGGGUGCGAGCGUUAAUCGGAAUUACUGGGCGUAAAGCGCGCGUAGGUGGCUUGAUAAGCCGGUUGUGAAAGCCCCGGGCUCAACCUGGGAACGGCAUCCGGAACUGUCAAGCUAGAGGGCAGGAGAGGAAGGUAGAAUUCCCGGUGUAGCGGUGAAAUGCGUAGAGAUCGGGAGGAAUACCAGUGGCGAAGGCGGCCUUCUGGACUGACACUGACACUGAGGUGCGAAAGCGUGGUAGCAAACAGGAUUAGAUACCCUUGUAGUC